GUGUCAGCAGCCGCGGUAAGACGAACCGUGCGAACGUUGUUCGGAUUCACUGGGCUUAAAGGGCGCGUAGGCGGGCGUCAGGGUCCGGGGUGAAAGCCCCCAGCUUAACUGGGGAAUAGCCCCGGAAACCGGACGUCUCGAGGGAGGUAGGGGCAGGUGGAACUUCCGGUGGAGCGGUGAAAUGCGUAGAUAUCGGAAGGAACGCCGGUGGCGAAAGCGACCUGCUGGACCUCUUCUGACGCUGAGGCGCGAAAGCUAGGGGAGCAAACGGGAUUAGAUACCCCGGUAGUCCUAGCCCUAAACGAUGGGUACUGGGUUGUAGACUUAACAUGGGUUUACAGCCGGAGCAAAAGUGUUAAGUACCCCGCCUGGGGAGUAUGGUCGCAAGGCUGAA
RNAcentral lists this ribosomal RNA (394 nucleotides) under uncultured bacterium. RNAcentral's name for it is "bacterial SSU rRNA". It matches the Rfam family "Bacterial small subunit ribosomal RNA", at positions 505 to 898 of the family's 1533-position model. The record is from RNAcentral.